UCUCUCCCCUUCAGAAACGUAACAUCCCACUUUACCCCUUCGUCCCCUGAUAAUGCUAAUUUAAUUAACUUGCACUGAUCUCUUCAUCCCCUUCGUCCCCUGAUAACAUCUAGAACAGUAGAAAAACAAUUAACUUAGCACUCUCUCUUCAUCGAUCUGAUUUCCUUUGUCCCUAACAUUUCUCUUCAUCUUCUUCUCAUUCGUCUCCAAUAUCCAUAACAGAUUCGAUCUUUCUUUAUAAACCACCAAAAACACAGACCCACGGCGACAUCCCACUUUACCCAUCAGUAUCACCAUCGAGCAUCUUGAUUUACCCACACUCUUUGUAAAUGGGUUGGGUGUUGCAUACUUUUCCUCAAUAAUUCAGGUGUUCUUCUGCAAUCUCAGGUGUUCUUCUGCCGUGUAGAUUUCAUCUUGCUCGCCCAGAACUCAAGAACACAGGUUCAAAAUAUCCUGAUGCAUCUUGUGUCGAUCCACAAUAUCAUGGUUCGUCUUCGCAACCAGCACCACGAUUGUAUCUUUUGUUGUUUCUUUUUAUUGUAUUUCGACUUAUUUGUAUUAAUGCAAGUUUAACUAAAUUUUUAUAAUAUGAAUAUUAUU
Long non-coding RNA from Populus trichocarpa (black cottonwood), 600 nucleotides. RefSeq lists it as uncharacterized. The record is from RefSeq and is a predicted model, not a curated record. Lineage: Eukaryota; Viridiplantae; Streptophyta; Magnoliopsida; Malpighiales; Salicaceae. The transcript is spliced from 3 exons.